GGCUUAACACAUGCAAGUCGAGGGGCAGCGCGUUGUAGCAAUACGGAUGGCGGCGACCGGCGCAAGGGUGCGUAACGCGUGAGCAAUCUGCCCGUAUCAGGGGGAUAAGCGAUGGAAACGUCGUCUAAUACCGCAUAACACUGGAUGUGGCAUCACAAUCAGUUGAAAGCUUCGGUGGAUACGGAUGAGCUCGCGAGACAUUAGCUAGUUGGCGGGUAACGGCCCACCAAGGCUGCGAUGUCUAGGGGAACUGAGAGGUUGGUCCCCCACACUGGAACUGAGACACGGUCCAGACUCCUACGGGAGGCAGCAGUGAGGAAUAUUGGACAAUGGCCGGAAGGCUGAUCCAGCCAUGCCGCGUGAAGGAAUAAGGUCCUAUGGAUUGUAAACUUCUUUUGUACGAGAGCAAUAAGGGUGUCGAGACAUCCGAUGAGAGUAUCGUACGAAUAAGCAUCGGCUAACUCCGUGCC
RNAcentral lists this ribosomal RNA (470 nucleotides) under uncultured bacterium. RNAcentral's name for it is "bacterial SSU rRNA". It matches the Rfam family "Bacterial small subunit ribosomal RNA", at positions 45 to 509 of the family's 1533-position model. The record is from RNAcentral.